CUGGGGUAUAGCUCAGGGGUACAGAGUAUGUAAGUUCCUGGGUUAGAUCUCCAGCACUGCAAAAACUAAAAUAAAGAAUUACAAAAAUAUACCCUUCACCCAGCUUCCCUGAAUGCCAGCAUCUUUUUCUCCACCAGCAUGUGUAACAGUGGACAAGCAAAACCCAGAAAUUGAUCUUGGAGUACCGCCGCCGUUAACCCAAGCGGCUGACCUUGUUCAGCUUUCAGCAGUGCUUCCGGUGCGUGGCUUCUGUUCCGGGAUGCAGUCGGAUCCCACGUUGCCGCGGUGGACGCUCCUCUCCAGUCUUCCCUGAUGGGGUCUUUCAAGUGUCCUGGCCAGUGGUUUGGUAGAACAGCCUCCAGAGGGGGCUGGUGUGAUUCUUUCGAGGGUGCGUUUGGGGCGGGCAUUUGAGUUCGCGGUGCUGAUAGGUCCCCAAGCUGGCGAGGAUGACCGUGGCCACUGGAGGGCGUCUGCUGGGCUUCUCCUUGCAGCUUCUUUUGGGAAGAAAUCCAGCCUCUUCGGAGGUUGCACGGUAAUGGGAUCCACGUUUUUUUCUAAGUUAGAGUUAGAGAAGAAACUAGGAGGCACAGCUUAUCUUUAAAGCGCUUAAUAUUUCCCGACUGUAAAAAGAGUUCAUUUAUGAGAAGAUGAACAGAAGAAAUUUGAGAAAAUAUAAAAUCACCAUUCUUAACACUUUCAACGUUUUGAUUUAUUAUGCCCUAUUUAUUUAAUUGUUUGAAAGGUCUCGACUUAUAAAAGAAAAAUAGUCAAUAAAUAACAAAUGUGAGCAAAGUGGAGAAGAAAUAGAAGGGAAGACAAGUGAGUUGAGAGAUAGAGGCAGUGUCAGUGUCUUCAUAACAGUCUGUUUUUUGUUUCUGUAGUACCAG
Molecule: long non-coding RNA, 887 nt
Filed under: Marmota monax (woodchuck)
Lineage: Eukaryota; Metazoa; Chordata; Mammalia; Rodentia; Sciuridae
Source: RNAcentral